RNAcentral lists this transfer RNA (75 nucleotides) under bacterium. RNAcentral's name for it is "tRNA-Pro". It matches the Rfam family "tRNA". From Rfam's summary of the family: Transfer RNA (tRNA) molecules are approximately 80 nucleotides in length. The record is from RNAcentral. RNAcentral also lists the same sequence under 1 other name.
CGGGGCGUAGCGCAGUCCGGUCAGCGCGCCUGCUUCGGGAGUAGGAGGCCGGAGGUUCAAAUCCUCUCGCCCCGA